This 340-nucleotide ribosomal RNA is filed under the name uncultured Bacteroidota bacterium. RNAcentral's name for it is "bacterial SSU rRNA". It matches the Rfam family "Bacterial small subunit ribosomal RNA", at positions 1047 to 1388 of the family's 1533-position model. The record is from RNAcentral. Lineage: Bacteria; Pseudomonadati; Bacteroidota.
GGCUGUCGUCAGCUCGUGCCGUGAGGUGUUGGGUUAAGUCCCGCAACGAGCGCAACCCCUAUCUUAGUUCCAGCGAGUAAUGUCGGGGACUCUAAGGAAACUGCCUACGUAAGCCGAGAGGAAGGUGGGGACGACGUCAAGUCAUCACGGCCUUACGUCCCUGGGCCACACACGUGCUACAAUGGUGAGUACAGAAGGAAGCUACCAAGUGAUUGGAUGCAAAUCUCCAAAGCUCAUCUCAGUUCGGAUUGAAGUCUGCAACUCGACUUCAUGAAGCUGGAAUCGCUAGUAAUCGCGCAUCAGCCAUGGCGCGGUGAAUACGUUCCCGGGCCUUGUACAC